RNAcentral lists this ribosomal RNA (459 nucleotides) under uncultured bacterium. RNAcentral describes it as "bacterial SSU rRNA". It matches the Rfam family "Bacterial small subunit ribosomal RNA", at positions 340 to 789 of the family's 1533-position model. The record is from RNAcentral.
UACGGAAGGCAGCAGGGGGAAUAUUGCACAAUGGGCGAAAGCCUGAUGCAGCUAUGCCGCGUGUAUGAAGAAGGCCUUAGGGUUGUAAAGUACUUUCAUCGGGGAGGAAAAAACAAAACUAAUAAUUUUAUUUCUUGACGUUACCCGAAAAAGAAGCACCGGCUAACUCCGUGCCAGCAGCCGCGGUAAUACGGAGGGUGCUAGCGUUAAUCAGAAUUACUGGGCGUAAAGAGCACGUAGGUGGUUUUUUUAAGUCAGAUGUGAAAUCCCUGGGCUUAACCUGGAACUGCAUUUUGAAACUGAAAUACUAGAGUAUCGUAGAGGGAGGUAGAAUUCUAGGUGUAGCGGUGAAAUGCGUAGAUAUCUGGAGGAAUACCUGUGGCGAAAGCGGCCUCCUAAACGAAUACUGACACUGAGGGUGCGAAAGCGUGGGGAGCAAACGAGGGAUUAGAUACCCGU